GGCUGGAUAGCUCAGUUGGUAGAGCACCGGAGCAGUAAUCCUGAGGUCACAGGUUCAAGCCCUACUCCAGUCA
Patiria miniata (bat star) is the source of this 73-nucleotide non-coding RNA. NCBI's taxonomy places the organism in Eukaryota, Metazoa, Echinodermata, Asteroidea, Valvatida, Asterinidae. The record is from the annotation of a RefSeq genome assembly.